RNAcentral lists this ribosomal RNA (301 nucleotides) under uncultured bacterium. RNAcentral describes it as "partial 16S ribosomal RNA". It matches the Rfam family "Bacterial small subunit ribosomal RNA", at positions 509 to 809 of the family's 1533-position model. The record is from RNAcentral.
CAGCCGCCGCGGUAAAACAGAGGGUGCGAGCGUUAAUCGGAUUUACUGGGCGUAAAGCGUGCGUAGGCGGCUUCUUAAGUCGGAUGUGAAAUCCCUGAGCUUAACUUAGGAAUUGCAUUCGAUACUGGGAAGCUAGAGUAUGGGAGAGGAUGGUAGAAUUCCAGGUGUAGCGGUGAAAUGCGUAGAGAUCUGGAGGAAUACCGAUGGCGAAGGCAGCCAUCUGGCCUAAUACUGACGCUGAGGUACGAAAGCAUGGGGAGCAAACAGGAUUAGAUACCCCCGUAGUCCCUGUCUCUUAUAU